This 478-nucleotide ribosomal RNA is filed under the name uncultured bacterium. RNAcentral's name for it is "partial 16S ribosomal RNA". It matches the Rfam family "Bacterial small subunit ribosomal RNA", at positions 28 to 523 of the family's 1533-position model. The record is from RNAcentral.
GACGAACGCUGGCGGCGUGCUUAACACAUGCAAGUCGAACGGUAAGGCCCUUCGGGGUACACGAGUGGCGAACGGGUGAGUAACACGUGGGUGAUCUGCCCUGCACUUCGGGAUAAGCCUGGGAAACUGGGUCUAAUACCGGAUAGGACUCCGGACUGCAUGGUCUGGGGUGGAACGCUUUUGCGGUGUGGGAUGGGCCCGCGGCCUAUCAGCUUGUUGGUGGGGUGAUGGCCUACCAAGGCGACGACGGGUAGCCGGCCUGAGAGGGUGACCGGCCACACUGGGACUGAGAUACGGCCCAGACUCCUACGGGAGGCAGCAGUGGGGAAUAUUGCACAAUGGGCGCAAGCCUGAUGCAGCGACGCCGCGCGAGGGAUGACGGCCUUCGGGUUGUAAACCUCUUUCAGCAUCGACGAAGCGAAAGUGACGGUAGGUGCAGAAGAAGGACCGGCCAACUACGUGCCAGCAGCCGCAGUAA